UUUAAAACUUUUCAUCCAUGCAAGGUUGUAAAAUACUCAGCUGCAAUCCUGUUCAUAAAUUCCUCGAAAUAGCAAAACAGCAUUUCCUGUCAAAUGCUCCCCAGUUGAAAGGGGACAAGAGUUCUGCUUUUACUGAAGUUGAGGGCCAGUGAGGAGCGUUAAGAAUACGCUAGUCACAGUUUCUUGUCUCCCUUUGACAAAUUAAAAGUGCUUUGGUGUAAAAUAUUAAAAACCCGUAAGUCAAUGUUUGUGUGUGUGAUAUGUGAAAUUAGGCAUUUAUUCCAAUAAUUUCUUAAACAUCAUUCUAGUAAGAGGUAACUGUACACUGAUCCAAUAGUCAAAAAAUUGUGUUGAUUCUCGAAUUACCCUGGAAGAAGUAUCUUGGGGGGAGCAAAAUAUGUGCUUAUCAACGUUUUUCAUAACAAAAAUACAAAUCAAAUUUUUUUUUUAAUUUCAUUGAAAAUUUGUUUGAUUUUUUUUUUUAAGUAAUUAUUUCUCAAUGUAUCUCUUCCCGACAAAAUAUAAAGCAAUAAAGUUUAGUAAGGUCAUCUUGAUCAUUGAUUUCCGCCGCGUAAGGCGUAAUCUUUAAAAUCGCUUUGGAAGAUAGAGAGAUAGGGACCACCUAUAGCCUGAACGCGCGGUGUCCAGAUUAAAGUAUUUUACCCUGGGCCUGGAAGUUGUUUAAUUUCUUAAAAGCCAAUAGAAAUCCGUUAUGUGAUUUUUUAGCCAAUACCUUAUCGGUAAAAAAAAAGUCGGCAAAAAGUGACCAAAUUUUGGCUAGGUGACUAAAUUUUUUACCGACCAAUUUUUUUACCGACAUUUUUUUUUGCCGACCGAAAAUUUUUACCGACUUUUUUUUUACCGACUAGUAAUAUUUGCCGAUUUUUUGAAUUACUUUUUAACCUCCAAUUUUUUAGUUUUUUGACUUUCCAAAGUGAUUCCAGGGAUUCUAAUCAAAUUUAGACUUUGUCGUUUUAUGAAGCCUCAUCCGCAAUAUUAUACGGAGUAUACACCAAAUAGCGGAGCUCCGCUAUAUUAUGUCUUUGUAUACACUAAGUUUGAACCAAUUGAACCAAUAGCUUUCUCUUAAACCCACGUGAGAUGAUAAAAGCAAAUAAUUUGAGAGCCGGGAGAUGUCCAAAAUAUUAUUGAUAAAAUCAUUAAUAAAGAUGUUAUUGAAAUAGAUUAGAUUGUUGUAAAAUCUUUGUUCUCUUUUAAUUCAGCGGUGUCAAAAAAGUCGGCAAUAAGUGACCAAUAUUAAAAAAAUUAACCGGUAAAAAGUGACUAAUUUUUGCAAAGUGACUAACUUUUUUGCCGACUAAAUUUUUUGCCGACUUUUUUUUACACCGACCUUUUUUUUACCGAUAAGGUAGGGUCUCAGAUUGUCAGAACCUGAUAUCGUGGCUUCCUGUGAUGCUUUGUAGAUAGAUAGAUAGAUGUGCAUAUUUUACAUGGCUAGCCUCACAAAUAUACAGGGAUAUACCCUGUCUAUUAUUUCCAGGAGGGGCCAUGGCGUAGAUGGAGAGUCCUAGAGUAUUUAAUGCUCAUUUUGAGCUACGCAGACCCAAUUAGAGCCCGAGCUCUACUAGACAACUCCCGGCAACAUCCAACGGCCCACACACUGUGCCAUCUUCCCAUCAAACCCCGGUCUCCCGCACAGAGUACGAGAGCUAUAACCACUAAUCUACGGCGCCACAUGGCUUGGGUUAACCCGGGGCUAUGGUAACAUUCACACUCGCCCAUGUUGAAUCGCCGUCAAGAGGAAUCGAAUCUACGGCGCCACAAAAUUAUUGUCUCGAAGUUCUUCGAGUUUCAGGUCCCACACGCCAAAGUUUCUUGCCCAAAACAAUCGGUUACCGUUCCUCUUGAUAUGUUUGAAACUCCAAAUCAAUGUUUUGCAAAACAGGAUGUUUGGUCGAUGAGUCUUCUCAGGUAAAAAAUGCUGUAUGUUCUAGCUAGUUUGUUACUUAGCUAUGUUAAAGUGAUUUACAUUUGCGAUUCUUCAGAGUGUUUAAAGCUCUUAUUUAAGCUACGCAUUUCCCUAGCAUUUCUGUCCAACUAUAAAAUGACCUUCCUUAUACGUAGUUAGGGAUCAAACCCAUUACCUGACUUAACAGUUUGGGAACCAAAACUGAUGAUUAAUAGCCUAAAAGGUGCAGUAGUUUUCAGGAAAGUUUGACCGAUUUAAGCUACAUUUGCAUGUCAUGUAGCUAGCUAGCUCUACAGACUGUAUUGCAUAUAAAGUUUCACAUAAAGAACGUAAAAUAAGCGUUUUCUUAUAUUUAACACGACCAUCGUUAAAAUGCAGCAUCAGCAGCAGAUCAGAAUUACAAACUUUGACAAGCAAAUCUACAGUGCAAUUUUCUGAUAAUAUUCUUCAUGAACUUUAUGAAAAGGGCUGUGUACUUUUGUACUAAGAUAACAAGUCCUUUAUUAAUUGCUAUUUUGUUUUGUACACAAAUAUUCAAAAAACAUUUUUAUAAAUUUGAAUCCUAAAUCGAACAUUUUUUCUUAUAUAUUUUGGCCUAUGGACUACAUUGUGUUACAUUGUGUAACAAGCAAAACAAUUUGCUCCAUAAAAAACCUGACAUACGAGCUUAAGUUGUAUGUAAGUGUGUCGUAACUUACAUAAAUGAGGUUAUGAAUAAAAAUUCUCCCUGAUGUGCACAAAAACAUGUGAAUGUAGCUUUAAAAAAGCAUCAAGUAUACUGUACAUAUUUACUCUAUUAUCCAGUUUCCCUGUUUUUCAAGUAAUCCUGCCUUUUUUUGCCAUGGAUUGUAAAAAAUAUUUUCAAAAUUAGCAUAUAUACACUAUCUGUAGAAGAAAUUUUUGUGGAACUUUUUUUUGCAGAACUUUGGGCCAAAUCUGUAAAAAUGUUCCACAGAAAUUUUAGAAAUCAGUCAAACAUCGCUUCUGAAAAAUUAUUCCGCAAAAUUUUCCAUUUCAGCUAGCCGCAACAAUUAAAAAUUUUUUUAUUUCUUCAUACUUUGAUUUCUUUAGGAUGUAAGUUAUUGGGUUCUAUGUUGCUCAUUUGUAAAUGCCCUAACUUCUGAAUACUAUGUUAGAAAAAAUACUGAUUUUGCCUCCGCUGAAAUAAUUGAACUUUAGGCACCCAAAAAUUAAUAUUGCACAUUUCGCAUAUAUUCUGCAAAUUGAAGCAUUUUUGUGUACCACUCACCCACAAAAAUAAGUUUCAGGAAAAUUUAUUGUGCAAAUAAAUUGUACCCUUGGCAAAGCAAGCAAGGCUCUUACAACAAGUUUGAAUGCAUAUUGAAAUUGAAAAACAAAAAGUUAUAAAGGUAUUGCUUAUAGCCUGGAAAAGAUUUGAGGUAGGUGUUUAUACUUCUUUUGCUUCAUAUUUCCAAACUUUGUUAAAAAAUUCCUAAGUUUUGCUAAAAACAACACUACACUCAGGUUUUUUACCCAAAAAUAAUUCAACAUAUCCGGCCUAUAUAUCCUGCAAUAUAGGAUUCCUGCUAAACCCACCUUUAUUUGUAGGUUAAAACACUAAUCCAGUGGUGAAGUAAUAAUAGACUAGAGUAAAUAUGGUAUUCUUGGUCACUGUUGAAUAUAACAUUUUAGGGAUGCUUUUAGGCAAGUUUAGGAACUUUCAAAUAAAUUAAAUAUUUAUAAAACUUCCAAAAUUUGUCUUUGAACACGCAGGUAUUCUUUUUGGAAAGACAGACAUCACAAAUACUUGGCGUUUCACAGUAUCACCUGAUUUUUUUAUCAAAACUUCAUAAAAUGGUCAGCCAUAAUCUAACACAGCCAUUAUCAGCAUUUCCAAAAAAAUGUUGAUAGAGUAAACUGCAAACAUUAAUUUGUGAAAAAUGAAUCACUAAAACUAAUAUAUAUUUAUAUAAUUUAUUAUAGUCUUAUUUUGGUUAAUAGUAUUUACUUCACAUUAUUUUUAAGGGAAACUAGACGUCUAUGGUUCUUCUAUGAUUUUACAGAAUUUGUAUCAUGAAAAUUUUUAGAACUUUCUAGGUAGAUCCCAAGUUUUUAUACUUUUUAUAACUGUGUGUAAAUCUGUAUAUUUUUGUUAUUUAUUCAGGUGUAAUUAAAUUGAAGUAUAUCUAAA
Long non-coding RNA from Hydractinia symbiolongicarpus, 4082 nucleotides. RefSeq lists it as uncharacterized. The transcript has 2 exons. NCBI's taxonomy places the organism in Eukaryota, Metazoa, Cnidaria, Hydrozoa, Anthoathecata, Hydractiniidae. The record is from RefSeq and is a predicted model, not a curated record.